Molecule: long non-coding RNA, 538 nt
Filed under: Sus scrofa (pig)
Lineage: Eukaryota; Metazoa; Chordata; Mammalia; Artiodactyla; Suidae
Description: lncRNA (ENSSSCG00065027479.1)
Source: RNAcentral
UGAACGUCGUGUUAAGUUCUCGCUUCUCAGAGUCCUGUGGACAAUGACUGAGGAGACAAACCAUGCAGGAAACAGCUCUCUGCAGCAAGCUGUCUGGAUCCAGACAUUCGCUUGGGAUUCCUAAUGCCUUGAUUUGAGGAGAGAAGAUGAACCUCACCUAACUUUGAAAUUAAUAUUUAAUGCUUUGAGGUCCCUUACUUGCAGGGAGAUGUGGUAAAGUGAGUACCCUGCAGUUCGGGGAGAUAAACCUGCAGUUUGAAAAUGUUAAGAUUACACAGAACACUCAAUCCUGGAACUAUCUUAAAAAGCAGCAGAGUCAUAGUAUGUUGCCCAGAUGCCCAUUGAAAUUAGAAGGAAUUAUAUGUGACAGGUGUGGGGGGUGGCCCUAGAGAUCCUCUCAGGUUUUCUACGAUGUGAAAACCAGUCAACAGUGGGUUUUCUGACAAGUGGAAGUAUGAGGACCUAUAUAUUUUAAUAAAGAGAUGCAUGACAGUUUCUACUGUGCUCAUGAAUUAUAAUAAAAAUGACUAUAUACAUA